UCUGGGCUCGAGCCUGCCUGGAGCCGCCGCCGGUGCAGAUCUUGGUGGUAGUAGCAAAUACUCCAGCGAGGCCCUGGAGGACUGAUGUGGAGAAGGGUUUCGUGUGAACAGCCGUUGCACACGAGUCAGUCGAUCCUAAGCCCUAGGAGAAAUCCGACGCCUACGGCGACGGGAUUUUGAAAAAUUUGAAAUCGACCCGUUGAUCGGGCGAAAGGGAAUCCGGUUCCUAUUCCGGAACCCGGCAGCGGAACCGCUGUUUGUCGGGCCCUCACAAGGGGUUCGUCAGGGUAACCUAAAAGGGCCCGGAGACGCCGUCGGGAGCCCCGGAAAGAGUUUUCUUUUCUGCAUGAGCGUUCGAGUUCCCUGGAAUCCUCUCGCAGGGAGAUAGGGUUUGGAACGCGAAGAGCACCGCAGUUGCGGCGGUGCCCGGGAAUUCCCGACGGACCUUGAAAAUCCGGGAGAGGGCCACGUGGAGGUGUCGCGCCGGCUCGUACCCAUAUCCGCAGCAGGUCUCCAAGGUGAAGAGCCUCUAGUCGAUAGAAUAAUGUAGGUAAGGGAAGUCGGCAAAUCGGAUCCGUAACUUCGGG
This 587-nucleotide ribosomal RNA is filed under the name Ischnura aurora. RNAcentral's name for it is "partial large subunit ribosomal RNA". It matches the Rfam family "Eukaryotic large subunit ribosomal RNA", at positions 1410 to 1940 of the family's 3401-position model. The record is from RNAcentral. Lineage: Eukaryota; Metazoa; Arthropoda; Insecta; Odonata; Coenagrionidae.